RNAcentral lists this ribosomal RNA (494 nucleotides) under uncultured bacterium. RNAcentral describes it as "partial 16S ribosomal RNA". It matches the Rfam family "Bacterial small subunit ribosomal RNA", at positions 28 to 507 of the family's 1533-position model. The record is from RNAcentral.
GACGAACGCUGGCGGCGCGCUUAACACAUGCAAGUCGAACGGAAAGGCCUGCUUUCCCUUGUGGAUUGCGGGUACUCGAGUGGCGAACGGGUGAGUAACACGUGAGUGAUCUGCCCCCAACUUGGGUAUAAGCCUGGGAAACUGGGUCUAAUUCCCGAUAGGACUGCAGGGUGGUGCCUGUGGUGGAAAACGAUUUUCUAGUGGUUGGGGAUGAGCUCGCGGCCUAUCAGCUUGUUGGUGGGGUAAUGGCCUACCAAGGCGGCGACGGGUAGCCGGCCUGAGAGGGUGGACGGCGACAUUGGGACUGAGAUACGGCCCAGACUCCUACGGGAGGCAGCAGUGGGGAAUAUUGCACAAUGGGCGGAAGCCUGAUGCAGCGACGCCGCGUGGGGGAUGACGGCCUUCGGGUGGUAAACUCCUUUCGACCGCGAGGAAGCCACCUGGUUGGAAGGGUGGUGACGGUAGUGGUAGAAGAAGCACCGGCUAACUACGUG